This 243-nucleotide long non-coding RNA is filed under the name Cavia porcellus (domestic guinea pig). RNAcentral's name for it is "lncRNA (ENSCPOG00000038598.1)". Lineage: Eukaryota; Metazoa; Chordata; Mammalia; Rodentia; Caviidae. The record is from RNAcentral.
ACAGAGUCAAAAUUAAAUCAGACAAGGAAAUCUCCAAAGGAAAUGGUCCAUACCACUUCAGGAAGUGAACGUCUCACCCUAGAGAGCUGCAUUGUUUUCUCUAACACAGACCUGGAAAUGCUCAGCUGGGUGUCUGCUGAUCUGUGUCAGAAGUUCUCUCAGAGAUGUUUAACAACUGAGGUUUGGAGACCUACAAUUAGAGAGACAGAUGGUCUAAGAAGACAAACAGUAUUUUGUCCCUAG